Pelobates cultripes (western spadefoot toad) is the source of this 109-nucleotide non-coding RNA. NCBI's taxonomy places the organism in Eukaryota, Metazoa, Chordata, Amphibia, Anura, Pelobatidae. The record is from the annotation of a GenBank genome assembly.
GAGGAGGACAUUAGGUCCCCCCCCUUAUUCUUGUUUAGGGCCCCCUUGUGGGUGGGGGCCCUAAACAAGAAUAAGGGGGGGACCUAAUGUCCUCCCCCCUGGCCCCCAC